Long non-coding RNA from Bos taurus (domestic cattle), 1312 nucleotides. NCBI's taxonomy places the organism in Eukaryota, Metazoa, Chordata, Mammalia, Artiodactyla, Bovidae. The record is from Ensembl.
CAUCCAUGGGAUUCUCCAGCAAGAAUACUGGAGUGGGUUGCCAUUUCCUUCUCUAGGGGAUCUUUCAGAUCCAGGCAUUGAACCAACAUCUCCUACGGCUCCUGCAUUGCAGGUGGAUUCCUUACCGCUGAGCCACCAGGGAAGUCCUUACUGCAUUUAUAGUCAUCAUCAAUAGCAGGAUGAAAAAUAGGGGGACAUGAGAACUAUUUUUGCAAAACUGGAGUAUAGGCAGUUUAAUAAGGCCAGCUUCUGAUUUAACAAAGAAGAAGAAAUGAGGCUCUAGGAUAGACAUUUACCAGCCAAGACCACUCAGCUCUUUAAGACAGAGCUCAAAAGUUCUAUUUCACUUUUGGCCAUAAGGAACAAGCCCACAGACAAUCUUGGGCUGAGUGAGUGGUGACCAGAAUAAGAAGCAUACAAGGGAAAUGAAGAAAAGCUGAACUGGGCUUCCAGAACAGAAGGCUCCAAAUACUGGUUUUAUAUCCAGUCUAUUUAGGUCCAUCAGCAGAAUAAGUUUGAAAACCUUUGCUCUUUAAUAUUAUUCUCCACAUAUUGAACUUUCUCUUUUCUCUUCCAGCUUGAGUCUUAAUCCUCCACAGGAUAUUUGUUAUUUGGGGGGAUAUCUAACAAUCUUUUUUUAUCUGCUUUUGGGACAUCCCAAACUUUUUGGGAGAAAUUCUACUCCUGUGUGGUGGGCAGGCCCACUGAGCCUGAUAAUCAGGUUGUUCUGCCAGUGGGAUGGCUGUAUGACCUAGGUUAGGCCAACUGGAUUCUUUUGCUACCAUCAGAACCACCCCAGAUGAUAAAUCUUGAGCUGAGUGAUGCAAAAAUGGGAAACCAUAGGUUGGAGCUCAUUCUUAUCCACAGUGAAGACAGUCUUGGUAAGAACAUUUGUUCUUGCUCUCCCAUGGCUACUCCACAGCUUCCCUGUGUUCUUUCCUCUUCUGGGCAUGUUCUCCAUCCUUUUAUUCUGUGAACUUUUAUUGGGUUGGCCAAAAACUUUGGGUUUUUCUGUAAAACUUUUUGGCCAAUCCAAUACAGCCCUACAACAAAUCACUGUCUCUUUAAGCUUGGCCAUACCAGAUUUCCUGAAUCCAAAGAACUUACAUCAAAAAAACUCUGUUGGGUAUUUGUCUGUCUCUACAGAGAUUCUGUUCAUUCCUGGCAUUUGCUCUCUGGUAGCUUUAGCUUGCCCAUGGCUCAUUAUGGUGUUCCAAGCCUCACUACGUAGCCAUGACUAGGAAACCUUAAUGUAAGCAAGGGGGAGUGGUUCUUAAACAUGCCUUUCCAUCUAGGUCAUACAUGAAUCCAA